UUUAAAAAAGGAAUUACUGAUGUUGACUGUUGUCAUAGUCACAACACAAAGAAAGUAUGUUUCCCCAAGGCACCAUUAAUUUCCUCUCUGGAUUUGCCAUUCCUCAUCCAUCCACCAGAUGCCCUCAGACUUUCACACCAGUCUCAUUCACCUGCUCAACUGUUUCCACUUUCCCUCAUCAGCCCUCCAGUAUAUAACCAGCCCUUUUCCACUCAUACACCUUUGCUUUCUGGCCACGUGAACCUGAUCUGCUCCUUGUUUUCCCCUGUUACCUGUCCCCUGACCUGCUCACCUGCUGUGCUGUCCUGUUCCCUACUUCUAAACUUAUUCCUAAUCUGAAGCCUUCAGUAAACUUCCCCUCAUCCUACCUGCUUGCCUGGAAAAAAAACAGAAUAAUUCUCCCCUCUGCUGUGAACUUGUCCUUUCAGACACAAGGCGAUAACGACACCACUGUGCUCUGAAACCCGUUAUCUCUAAUGGCUUGCAGCACACCACGACCUCUUUCCUGUGAUGCUGUGAUAUGCGGAAAAAAAACAGAAUAAUUCUCC
This is a long non-coding RNA of Sebastes umbrosus (honeycomb rockfish), 548 nucleotides long. RefSeq lists it as uncharacterized. The record is from RefSeq and is a predicted model, not a curated record. NCBI's taxonomy places the organism in Eukaryota, Metazoa, Chordata, Actinopteri, Perciformes, Sebastidae. The transcript has 4 exons.